Molecule: long non-coding RNA, 1710 nt
Organism: Oncorhynchus kisutch (coho salmon)
Lineage: Eukaryota; Metazoa; Chordata; Actinopteri; Salmoniformes; Salmonidae
Source: Ensembl
AUGUGGGACGGUCCGCCAUGUGGGACGGACUCAUGUGGGACGGACUGUCACGUAGGACAGACUGCCAUGUGUGACGGACUGUCAUGUGGGACGGACUGCCAUGUGGGACGGACUGUCAUGUGGGACGAACUGCCACGUGGGACGGACUGCCACGUGGGACGGACUGCCAUGUGGGACGGACUGCCAUGUGGGACGGACUGCCAUGUGGGACGGACUGCCAUGUGGGACGGACCGUCAUGUGGGGCGGACUGUCACGUGGGACGGACUGCCAUGUGGGACGGACUGUCACGUGGGACGGACUUUCACGUGGGACGGACUGCCAUGUGGGGAGGACUGCCACGUGGGACGAACUGCCAUGUGGGACGGGGACGGACCGCCAUGUGGGACGGACUGUCACGUGGGACGGACUGUCACGUGGGACGGACUGCCAUGUGGGGAGGACUGCCACGUGGGACGAACUGCCAUGUGGGACGGGGACGGACCGCCAUGUGGGACGGACUGUCAUGUGGGACGGACUGCCAUGUGGGAAGGAUUGCCAUGUGGGACGGACUGGUGGGGGUGGUGGUGGGGGUGGUGGUGGAGGUGGUGGUAGUGUUGGUGGUGGAGGUGGUGGUAGUGUUGGUGGUGGAGGUGGUGGUAGUGUUGGUGGUGGAGGUGGUGGUAGUGUUGGUGGUAGUGGAGGUGGUGGUGGAGGUGGUGGUGGAGGUGGUGGUGGAGGUAGUGGAGGUGGUGGUGGAGGUGGUGGUGGAGGUGGUGGUAGUGUUGGUGGUGGAGGUGGUGGUAGUGUUGGUGGUGGUGGAGGUAGUGGAGGUGGUGGUGGAGGUGGUGGUGGGGGUGGUAGUGGAGGUGGUGGUGGGGGUGGUAGUGGAGGUGGUGGUGGAGGUGGUGGUAGUGUUGGUGGUGGAGGUGGUGGUAGUGUUGGUGGUGGAGGUGGUGGUAGUGUUGGUGGUGGUGGUGGUGGAGGUGAUGGUGGAGGUGGUGGUGGUGGAGGUGGUGGUGGAGGUGGUGGUAGUGUUGGUGGUGGAGGUGGUGGUAGUGUUGGUGGUGGAGGUGGUGGUAGUGUUGGUGGUGGAGGUGGUGGUAGUGUUGGUGGUGGAGGUGGUGGUAGUGUUGGUGGUGGAGGUGGUGGUAGUGUUGGUGGUGGUGGUGGUGGAGGUGAUGGUGGAGGUGGAGGUGGUGGUGGUGGAGGUGGUGGUGGAGGUGGUGGUAGUGUUGGUGGUGGAGGUGGUGGUAGUGUUGGUGGUGGAGGUGGUGGUAGUGUUGGUGGUGGAGGUGGUGGUAGUGUUGGUGGUGGAGGUGGUGGUAGUGUUGGUGGUGGAGGUGUUGGUGGUGGAGGUGGUGGAGGUGGUGGUAGUGUUGGUGGUGGAGGUGGUGGUAGUGUUGGUGGUGGAGGUGGUGGUAGUGUUGGUGGUGGAGGUGUUGGUGGUGGAGGUGGUGGUGGGGGUGGUAGUGGAGGUGGUGGAGGUGGUGGUAGUGUUGGUGGUGGAGGUGGUGGUAGUGUUGGUGGUGGAGGUGGUGGUAGUGUUGGUGGUGGAGGUGGUGGUAGUGUUGGUGGUGGAGGUGGUGGUAGUGUUGGUGGUGGAGGUGGUGGAGGUGGUGGUAGUGGAGGUGAUGGAGGUGGUGGAGGUGGUGGAGGUGAUGGAGGUGGUGGAGGUGGUGGUGGAGAUGGUGGGGAUAAUGUAUUUAUAUUUUUUAUUGAACCUUUAUUGA